CCUACGGGAGGCUGCAGUGGGGAAUAUUGCACAAUGGGGGAAACCCUGAUGCAGCGACGCCGCGUGAGUGAAGAAGUAUUUCGGUACGUAAAGCUCUAUCAGCAGGGAAGAAAAUGACGGUACCUGACUAAGAAGCCCCGGCUAACGACGUGCCAGCAGCCGCGGUAAUACGGAGGGGGCAAGCGUUAUCCGGAUUUAUUGGGUGUAAAGGGGGCGGAGGCGGACUGUUAAGUCAGCGGUCACAGCCCGGGGCUCAACCCCGGCGAGCCGUUGAAACUGGCUGUCUUGAGCUGUCGAGAGGUAUGCGGAAUGCGCAGUGUAGCGGUUACCUGCUUAGAUAUUGCGCAGACCUCCGAUUGCGAAGGCAGCAUACCGGCGGCGAUCUGACGCUGAGGCACGAACGCGUGGGUAUCGAACAGGAUUAGAUACCCCGGUAGUC
RNAcentral lists this ribosomal RNA (439 nucleotides) under uncultured bacterium. Its description in RNAcentral is "partial 16S ribosomal RNA". It matches the Rfam family "Bacterial small subunit ribosomal RNA", at positions 338 to 795 of the family's 1533-position model. The record is from RNAcentral.